GAUGAACGCUGGCGGCGUGCUUAACACAUGCAAGUCGAACGGACGAACGCGUUCCUUUCUUUUCUGUGGUUAGCGGCGGCCAGCUGAGUAAUAAGUGGUUAACCUACUUCUCCGUCUUUGUUAACUACCGCAUACCGGAGUUACUACUACAUGAUAUUUUGGGUCUCUUGGUUCAUAAGUGUGGGACGGUCUUGCUUUCGCUUAUAGAUGGAUCCGCGCGGCAUUAGCUAGUUGGUGCGGUGAUGGCGUACCAAGGCAAGGAUGCAUAGCCGACCUGAGAGGGGGAUCGGCGACACAGGAGCUGAGAGACGGGGCAGACUCCUACGGGAGGCAGAAGUGGGGAAUCUACCGCAAUGGGCGAAAGCGUGUCGGAGCAACGCGGCGUGAGUGAGGAAGGUCUUCGGAUCGUAAAACUCUGUUAUGAGGGAAGAACAUAUGUGUAAGUAACUGUGCAGAUCUUGAGGGUACCUAAGCAGAAGGCCACGGCUAACUACUU
RNAcentral lists this ribosomal RNA (496 nucleotides) under uncultured bacterium. Its description in RNAcentral is "partial 16S ribosomal RNA". It matches the Rfam family "Bacterial small subunit ribosomal RNA", at positions 28 to 506 of the family's 1533-position model. The record is from RNAcentral.